UCCGAAGGGGGCUAGCGUUGUUCGGAAUUACUGGGCGUACAGCGCACGCAGGCGGAUUGAUAAGUCAGGGGUGAAAUCCCGGGGCUUAACCUCGGAAUUGCCUUUGAUACUGUCUGUCUUGAGUCCGGGAGAGGUGAGUGGAAUUCCUAGUGUAGAGGUGAAAUUCGUAGAUAUUAGGAAGAACACCAGUGGCGAAGGCGGCUCACUGGCCCGGAACUGACGUCCAUGUGCGAACGCGUGGGGAGUAAACAGG
Molecule: ribosomal RNA, 253 nt
Filed under: uncultured bacterium
Lineage: Bacteria
Description: partial 16S ribosomal RNA
Rfam family: Bacterial small subunit ribosomal RNA
Source: RNAcentral